CCGUUCUCAUUGGGGUGCAACAAGCGGUUGUUUUUGCGUAAAAAUUUGCAAAUUUUUGCCGAAAUUUAACCGCUUGUGGCUGAGAAAUACCCAUAGAACCUGAUCUGAUUAAUAUCAGCGUAGGGAUUUGAGAUAGCAACUUGC
This 144-nucleotide non-coding RNA is filed under the name Mannheimia haemolytica. RNAcentral's name for it is "TPP sequence". It matches the Rfam family "TPP riboswitch aptamer (THI element)". Rfam says of the family: Vitamin B(1) in its active form thiamin pyrophosphate (TPP) is an essential coenzyme that is synthesised by coupling of pyrimidine and thiazole moieties in bacteria. The previously detected thiamin-regulatory element, thi box was extended, resulting in a new, highly conserved RNA secondary structure, the THI element, which is widely distributed in eubacteria and also occurs in some archaea. The record is from RNAcentral. Lineage: Bacteria; Pseudomonadati; Pseudomonadota; Gammaproteobacteria; Pasteurellales; Pasteurellaceae.